GACGAGGGGUGCAAGCGUUGUCCGGAAUGAUUGGGCGUAAAGCAUCUGUAGGUGGUUUUUAAAGUCAACUGUUAAAGCCCAGGGCUUAACUUUGGAAAAGCGGUUGAGCACUUAAAAACUCGAGUUUGGUAGGGGUAGAGGGAAUUCCUAGUGGAGCGGUGAAAUGCACAGAGAUUAGGAAGAACACCAGAGGCGAAAGCGCUCUACUGGGCCAAAACUGUCACUGAGAGAUGAAAGUUGGGGGAGCGAAUAGG
RNAcentral lists this ribosomal RNA (254 nucleotides) under uncultured Loriellopsis sp. RNAcentral describes it as "partial 16S ribosomal RNA". It matches the Rfam family "Bacterial small subunit ribosomal RNA", at positions 524 to 776 of the family's 1533-position model. The record is from RNAcentral. Lineage: Bacteria; Bacillati; Cyanobacteriota; Cyanophyceae; Nostocales; Symphyonemataceae.